AAAACAUGUCCAUUUGUUUAAAAAAUAAUAAAAUUAAAGGACAUUUUACAACAUUCCAUCUAGUAUUUAAAUUAUGAAACAACAAUCAUUUUACCUUAUUAGCAAACCAUGAAGGUUUAUACAGAAAUAUAUAUAGAAUGCACUAUUUCCAGAGAUCAGAAACCUUGUUAUACCCCUAUACCUAACAGUGUUUAGCAUAUAACAGUUAUUGCUUAACCAUCUGUUCAUUUGUAGGGGGGAUGUGAAGGAGAAAUGAAUAGCUUUAUUGCCUUGCUAGUCAAAGGGGUACCAGCAGGCUAAUAGCUGCAAAAACUGUGUUAAUGUCUCCACCCCCCCCAACCCCGGGAGAGUUUGGUGAGGAGUUUCAUAGCAAUGGUUCAAGGGCAGGAUUGCUGAUAAAGAUGGGUUGUGGCCAGGGCCUCUGUUCCUUUAAUCUGUCCUCUUUUUUUUCUGUUUCUGGCACGCGUGCAGCAUGCAGAAGUUCCCAAGCCAAGGACUGAACCCGCAUCACAGCAGUGACCCAAGCCACAGAAGUGAAAAUGCUGGAUUCUUAACCUGCUGUGCCACUAGGGAACUCCUGUUUAUUUUUGAAUAAAGUAAAUGUGACAUAUUUAAAGAUACCCGUAACAAUUAUUAAGCUGCACAUUUAACAGUUUAAUAAACAAAAGGAUUCACAUAUUAUUUUAUAAUUAGGGAGGAAAUGUUCAAAAACAAGUUCACAGGUUCAGUUUUUAAGGAGAAAUAAAAGUUAUAUUCAGUAUUUGAAGCUUUCAUCUUUAUCAGAAAUAACAACCAUACACACUAACAUUUUUUACAUCUGAAGAAUUUCUUUUUCCUUUUUUUUUUUUUUUUUUUUUUUUUUUUUUUUGUCUUUUGUCUCUUUUGGGCCACACCCCCUGGGAACCUCCAUAUGCCUUGGGAGCGGCCCUGGAAAAGGCAAAAAAACAAAAAAAUAAAAAUAAACAAAUAUUAUGAUACUUCUCUGUAUGGAACACUGAAGUGAAUUUAAUCUUCUGUUUUACUUCAAACAUUAUUUUUCUUUAAGAGUUUCUUUAAAAUGAGGUAUGUAGUCUGUAGGUACCAUCCCAAGUUCCUUGGGUCAAAAGUUAACAGUAUGGGGUCAUCAAGUAAAUUAAAUGUUAAUGGCAGAAAUUAAAGGACUUAAAUUAAAAACAUAGGGCCUAAUCCUAUGAUGAAGAAAAGUAAGGAAACAUGUUCCCACAAGAGUUGUAAACUGUUCACCUAUUUAAAAUAAAUUACUUCUUCAGAGCUGCCUUAAAAAGUUAAUUUGUUUUAAACACAUAAGCAUUUCUUUGCCAAAAGAGAACAUGCUGUAUUUUAUUAUCUUUAUUUCCCUAUAGAUUUGUUCUACAAGGAAUAAUUUUUUACAUAUUAAGAAUAGAAAUUUCAGUGUAAGGCUCAACUCUCAUAGAAACCUGGUCACAUAUCCUCAAUCAUAUCUCCUAGAGACCAAGGGGCUCAACGUUACUUCUGUUUGCUAAAAAUGAAUAAAAAAUGAAUGUUAAUAGAUCCCUGUUCUCCUUAACUUCUAGGACAAGGAUCAUCCAAAGUCAAUAAGGUCUCUGAGAAAGCCAACAGUUGUCAUUUUAAACAUUUCUUACUCAGUGUAAAGUCUAUUAAAAACCUUCAAAUUUCUUUUGUUAAAGGGUCAAGAAUAGAUCUAUUUUUAUUACUUGCAGGUCUUUUUUAUUACUUAAAUUGUUCCCCAAAUACUCACAUUUUAUCGGCUAGGACAAAAGUUUACCAAUCCUUGGUAUAUUUUAGACCACGUACAGUAUUUGAUUUACCAUUUGGGGUGUCACUUUUUUGAGAUGGGCUCUGUUAAAACUGGAGAAUAAACCUUUAAACAGUGAAAGGUUUAAAAUCAUAAAGCCGCUAAAGAAACGACAGAUGUUGGGUGGAUAGCAAUUCAGUGGCUCCCAUGGUUGAAAAUACUAGCGGUCAUACUUAAGGAGUUAUCACAUGUAGAUGGGAAUCAAUUUGUUCUCAGCCAUUCCAGGGGGUAGUUGCAAAUAGGGGUGUUUUAUUAAGAUUCUAUGACUCCAAACCUGAAGACUAAAUUUCCCUUACUAGUGAAAUUUAAAUUAUUUUUUAAAAAUGUUUCAAAAACCUUUAAAGAGGUAUUUAAUACAUCUAAGCUCAGCAUUUUCACACUAAUAUUUUAGAAAGUAGAUAAGUGAAACAAAUGGGUUUAUCCCUUUACAAGUAUCCGUAUUGGUAACAGAUUGGGAGGGUGGUAGUUCAUACUUCUGUAAAUAUUACCAUUAUUAAUUAUAAAUGAAUUUUAGUUCAGUCCCAUAAUCUGUGUCCAAGAAUAUGGAAGCAAAAUAAUUCUUCGUAUAGGGGAAAAAGCCUUAUAUCUCCAUAAUCUUAACAGAAUCAGAGUUGAAAAUAUGAAUGAAUCUAUUCUAACCACUUUCAGAAACUGGGACUCUAAACUAUGCAAAGUAAAUUUCCCCAAACAGAAGUACAUUUCCUGAUCCAUCUAUAAAUUUUCUUCCAUAUAAUGAAUAUGGAUAUACUCAAAAAAUCCCAAAAGGCAAAAGAAAAUAAAAAGAAAAAA
This 2584-nucleotide long non-coding RNA is filed under the name Sus scrofa (pig). Its description in RNAcentral is "lncRNA (ENSSSCG00060016490.1)". Lineage: Eukaryota; Metazoa; Chordata; Mammalia; Artiodactyla; Suidae. The record is from RNAcentral.